This 67-nucleotide transfer RNA is filed under the name Bombus canariensis. RNAcentral's name for it is "tRNA-Tyr". It matches the Rfam family "tRNA". Rfam says of the family: Transfer RNA (tRNA) molecules are approximately 80 nucleotides in length. Lineage: Eukaryota; Metazoa; Arthropoda; Insecta; Hymenoptera; Apidae. The record is from RNAcentral.
AGUAUUAUGUCUGAAAAAGAAAUAAAUUGUAAAUUUAUUAAUGAAAAUUAAAAUUUUUCUGAUACUA